UUGCUACACCGAAAUGGUUUUAAAGAUGCAAUUUCGAGUGUAAAAAAAGUGGUUGAAAAUGUUGUCGUGGGAAGCAGCUAAGUUAAGAAUAAGUUUAGAAAUGGUGUUACAAGCGUGACGCAAGUGGGCACAAAGUGAGCCCUUGCACAGCAAAGUGCGCCGAUCAGGCGGAGCAGCGUCGCGCUUGGUUCUCUCCGAGCAGAGCGGAGCUGCGCGGGGACACACGCCGGCCAAGGAGCGCCUGUCCCCGGGUGCGGUGCAAGGAGGCGCCUCCCCUUUAUGUUUUGUUGUGGCUAUUGUGUGUUUUUUUUCUAACUAAAGCGAAAUCCACCUGUGCAGGUAAGUUCCAAUGUCAGCCUUGAAUGUGGAUAAAUGUUGUUGUUUUUUUUUUUUUAAGUGCGAGGCACGUACCUGCUUGCAGCGGCGUUGGUCCGAUGACACUGCAGAGCGGCGGUGAGCGGAUCCCCGGUCCAGCGGUGAUAAUAAAGCCUUAGAAAUAAAGCCUGCUAGUGGUUGGGAGGAGGGAGGGAGCGCGCGUCCUGCUCGGGCAGGUUUACAACUGAUGUCUUACACCCACUCCAGGAAACAAACCUGGGUCGGGACUGACGUGUUCCGCCUCUUCUAAUGACAUUUUUUUUCUUUCCACCUCCUUUUCUUUGCCGUGCGCACGGAGGAGAAGCCCCCUGAAACGCACGCCACCUAUCUUCACGGGAGGGGAUAAUUGAGGGGAGCCAAACGUGAGCAUCUUCUGGCUUCAACUUAUUUUUUUUAUUAUUUUUUUAAAUUCCUCCCUCCCAUCCCAGCACUCUCUUGCUUGCUGCCCCCUCCCGCUCCUCUCGCUUUCUCCAUCCCUGUCUUUUGUACAGAGAAACCAGUGUGUGUGUGUGUGUGUGUGUGUGCGUGUGUGCGCGCGGGGGGGAAACUUGAAGUGCGUCCACGCCAGCCGCAAUCACGACAAUGCUGCAGUCCGCAAAUUAGCUCACUCUUUUGGACCACCCUGCGUUUUUCCCUGAUGUGAAUCCAAUUGGGAACAUCUGGGAAAGGAUGGCAAGGGAACUUUAUAAAACUGGACACCCGUUCCAGGCAGUGGAUGCCCUCCGUGAAGCCAUUUUUAACCACCUGGAGCAACAUUCCCACUGGCCUCCUGGAAACACUGGCAUCAGGCACGCCCCAAACCACUUGUUCAGCUGAUUAACAAGAAUGGCACAGCUACUCAGUCCUGAUUCAUUUGGGUUUUUUUGCACUAUCGUCUUAAACUUUUCAUCAACAGAUAACCAGCCUAUUUCACUUUAAUGCUUGUUUGCAAUAAAUUACUUACUUUUUU
Molecule: long non-coding RNA, 1324 nt
Organism: Dunckerocampus dactyliophorus (ringed pipefish)
Lineage: Eukaryota; Metazoa; Chordata; Actinopteri; Syngnathiformes; Syngnathidae
Exons: 2
Source: RefSeq, a predicted model, not a curated record